GAUGAAGAACGCAGCGAAAUGCGAUAAGCAAUGCGAAUUGCAGAAUUUCCGUGAGUCAUCGAAUCUUUGAACGCACAUUGCGCCCACUGGUAUUCCGGUGGGCAUGCCUGUUCGAGCGUCAUUAUCCUCCCUCAAACCCCGGGUUUGGUGUUGGACCCAAGUUGUGUGAACAACUGGUCUCAAAGACAAUGACGGCGUCCGUGGGACCCUCGGUGCAACGAGCUUUUAGGAGCACGCAUCGAGUUGCAAGGACCUUCCGGGCCGGUCUCCUUUACCAUUUUACAAGGUUGACCUCGGAUCAGGUAGGAAUACCCGCUGAACUUAAGCAUAUCAAUAAGCGGAGGA
RNAcentral lists this unclassified non-coding RNA (345 nucleotides) under soil metagenome. Its description in RNAcentral is "partial contains 5.8S ribosomal RNA, internal transcribed spacer 2, and large subunit ribosomal RNA". The stretch from base 1 to 121 matches the Rfam family "5.8S ribosomal RNA", at positions 35 to 154 of the family's 154-position model. The record is from RNAcentral.